ACCAAACUCCCCCAAUAAUUCAAUUUCAACCCCUCCAUAUAUACAAAUUCCCCCCCAAACCCAAAAAAUAAAAUAUUUUAAACUAACCAAAACAAAAAAUGCCAAGCUCUACCUCUACUACUCUCCAAUGGCUAAGCCUGGUCGGAAUAAUAUGGCUCCAGUCAGUAAACGGAACCAACACCAACUUCCCAGCCUACUCCUCCCAGCUC
Molecule: long non-coding RNA, 209 nt
Filed under: Linum usitatissimum (flax)
Lineage: Eukaryota; Viridiplantae; Streptophyta; Magnoliopsida; Malpighiales; Linaceae
Description: long non-coding RNA (LUSI_LNC000277)
Source: RNAcentral